GCAUCCUGCUAUAAUCAACAACAGGCACGCGGGGACUUCCUGCAGCCAAUCACAGCUCCGCUUCAACCAGUUUAAUAAAGUUCGUUUUUUUCCGCCGUUUCACUUCGUGUUUGUUUGGAGGAAACACUGCCUUGUUCUCAGUGCUAAAGAUGUGGGUGAACAAACCAGCUCCGGCUAUAUGCAACAAAGUGGGAGGCACGCGCAGAACGAGCCUCUUGUAAGGAAAAGAAGAUGUAUUUAUGGCGCUUCUCCAUCGCCAUAACGCUCGGCUUGGUGUGGUAUUUUUCAGACUGCGGUCGCUCUGUCACACAGUACUUCCUAUGUUUCCUCUUUUGUUUUUCUGCUCCACUGUUAUUCGGAAACCGUGGAAGAGAGAGCGGCACUCAGACUGAUGAAGAGACGAAGGAAAAUCCCACUCCAGGAAUCUGCUGAGGGACCGUUGUUUGGUGACCUGACAGAUGCAAAAAGCAGAGAGCAGGCUGAACUACUGGAUUCUCAGUAUCCACAUGUAAAGACGUCUCUACAACAAGUGUUCGAGUGCGCCUACGCCCAGCUGGUCCUGCCUUGGUACGCCGUUCCCGAGCUGUGCGAGCAGCAGCCUCUGCACCAGGUGCUCAGCAGGGAGUUCGACUUUGUAAUAGACAGAAUCAUUGAGAGAGCCAAAGACUUUGAUGUUUGCCAGGCGGUCGUGGGCUCAGUUCGUAUUUUGACCCAGUACUUACAUAAUGCGAAGCAGUCUGACAGAGAGCUGUUGUUCAGCUCCAGAGCAGAGGAGAUUGCAGGUCCUCCGAGAGUUUUCUGACGCUCUAGUACGUAACUUUUUCCACAAAUCUCUCUGGGGCCAUGAAGUCAACCGCUGUGCCUUAAAUGAGAUUGUUGCCUUAAAGGGGCUGGGUCUGUUGGUGACAUGGCUGUCAGACCCCGACAACCUGAACCAGCUGGUGGUGAACCAGCUGGACAGCGUGACCCCCAAAGGCUCUGUGGAGGAGCUGUGUGGAUCAGACCUGGAUCAAACCUCUCUGGCUUCACAUGAGGGUGAAGGCGAGGCCGAGGGCAGUGAAGUGAGCUUGGAGGGAGCAGGGAUUUCAACCAGCACCAGGAUCAAGGCCAAAAGAAAAGCUAACAAGUUAAAAGAAGGAUGGUCUAAAUUUGUGGACAAAGUAAAGUCUAAGAAGGCCAAGAAGAAGAAGAUGAAAAAGAUAGAGCAUGAGCUGAUUCUGAGGUUCAUGGCGAUCCAGAGCGACGUGUCCAAUGAGGACGAUGUCAGCAGCAGGGAGAGCUCCAUCUACAGCCAGCAGGACUCUGACAGGGAGGAUAGUGAUCUGGAGAACUACUUGACAAGCGUCCAAGAGGACAUGAUGGAAUUCAAGCUGUCGUAUGAGAUGUGGCGCGCUGGCAGCUGGGCCGUCAGCAUCCCUCAUGCCGACUGGUCUGAUGAGGAGCUAAUCUUCACCUUUCACCUGGAGGAGAAGGGCAGCCCUGAGAACCUACAGUGGGACAUCAGGAAGACCUACAUGGAUGUUCUAUACUUCCGCAACAGAUGGCAGGACUCAACCAGCCUGCCCUCCAUCCUGGUGCUGGAGGUGUCGGAUGUCAACGCUGAGGUCAAAGAAGAAGCCAGAGUAUCAGUGGAGCACUUCUUGCAGGAGUUGGUUUCUGAUAAUCUGAUCGGCCACACUCAACCGGUUUUUCAGUUCCUCUGCCCGCUUGACAAGCUGCUGAAUGAGGAUGAACAUUCUGGAGGCGUGUGGCGCCUUCUGAGCGGCCUGGCUUACUUCCUGACUCCAGGUCACGAGGAGGAGGAGAGCUCCAGCCCUCAGACAGAAGCCCCAAAAGAAAUCAUAACAUCAUCUCUACUUCCACAAUCGACAGCUCUGCUUUUAGAAACCCCUGGUGCCUCUACUGAGAGGGCUGGUGAUGUUGCUUCAAUCCCAACUAUUGUUAUCUCCCAACAUGAUUCUUCUUCAGCACCGCCGGAGGAAGCAGAAACAGAAAAUGAACCGCUGUCUGCUGCUAACUCAGACUCUUCAAAUGAAAACUGUUCCCAAGACAAAACGGAGGACUCUGAUAAUCCUUUAACCUCUCACUUUAAACUGAUUUUCAAAGGACUGACUCGAUCCAGGUCACAAGAGUCUCUGGUCUUGACAAAAACCACCAGUAAUGGAAACACGCCAGAUUUAGACGCCACGCCACACUGCAGCCAAAAUGGAGGCGAGCAGGGGGAGAGCUCAGAAGGACCGUCGUGGCUUAAUUUCAGUGCAAGGUCAAAUAAAAAGGAGAAAACAUGUUUCAUCAGAGCUAAAGGGAAGAACCAGGUGACUUCACCACGACGGGAGGACCCCCAGUGUCAGAGGAGCCAAGUCAACUGGGAGCAGCUGGAGGCGACCAAAGCCAUGUUCGAUCUGCUGAAAGAAAUAUCUGGAAACUCCAUCCUCAUAAACAUAUUCGAUGCCAUUUUGAAACCUGUUAUGCCCAUCUUGAAAAAGAAAGUGAACUCCUUCCUAAGCAAGAUGAACCCCACAGAAGUGCAGAUGGCUGCAUACAUCGACACCCUGCGGGACAAACAGUGGCCAGAUUUACAGCCAGCAGCACCUCCUCCUCCUCCUCCUCAUCCUCCUCGCACCGACGAGGAGAAGAACGAGACCAGGGAUCGAGCGCACAACCUAAUCAAUGCCAGAUAUUCAAACUAUCUUAUCCUGAAGAGGACGGACAUGGAGUCUGUUUUUAAUCUUUUCCAGGACGGAGAGGGAAACAAAACGCUGGUAUAUAUGCUCCUGUCAUUCCUAUUGAGGGAGUUUCUUCCCAAUGAGCAUUCCCUAAAUGUGAGCGCCGCUGCCCUCCAGAAAGUGACCAACUCCACCAGCUGAUCUGUGAAUCCUUUUUUUUUUUAGAAUAUGAAAUUAUUUAUUAAAUAUCCUGCCCCAGAAUAUUUGUGACCAUUUUUGUAUCAAUGUCAAACGUUCCUCUCUGUUGUUUAUACCUCAAACAUAUCAAAUGUACUGUGAACCCUGACUUCAAUGUGUGUGGCAUCAGAAACAUUCUUUGUGGGAGCCUUUAAUUGUAUUGUGAAACUCACAGGAGAAAGUAAACAAUAUUUACAGUUUGAAUUUCACCCUUCACGUUUUAAUACGAAAGAAUUAGAAAUAUUUUGUGUCACUUUGAGCACUUUUGUAUGGUGAGUUUGUUUUCUGAUUAAUUUGGCCUAAAGUUGUUUAUCAUAGAAUAUCCAACGAUUACCAAUCACCUAAAUCUGUCAGUGGACACGGCCACUAUCAAAAGAAACUGUUAUUGUAAAUAACUUGAAUUUAUUUCAAAUAAAAUAUUUUAAUAAAACCUUUUUCUGGUUAUAUUUCUGGCUUCUUGUUUUUCAGUGAGUUUAGAUAGUAAUAACACACUAAAUAAUAUAAAAUAAUAAUAAUAAGUUGUAUUUGUAAAGCGCCUUUCAAAGCUAAAAGCAAUCUCAAGGUGCUAAAUGUAAAUGAGUUGCUGAUGCCAGCAGCUUAUUUGCUCUGUAGCAAUAUUUGAGUAAAAUAUAUUUCAGACGAAAACAAGUUUGUCCACUAAGUG
This is a long non-coding RNA of Cottoperca gobio, 3567 nucleotides long. Ensembl lists it as uncharacterized. NCBI's taxonomy places the organism in Eukaryota, Metazoa, Chordata, Actinopteri, Perciformes, Bovichtidae. The record is from Ensembl.